RNAcentral lists this unclassified non-coding RNA (394 nucleotides) under Hevea brasiliensis (rubber tree). Lineage: Eukaryota; Viridiplantae; Streptophyta; Magnoliopsida; Malpighiales; Euphorbiaceae. The record is from RNAcentral.
UUCCUCUACUUAAUCCCUUCAUGGUUUAGAUCAAGGGGAUCCAAGAAAGGCCUCACACCUUUGAAAGAUUCCCUGAGGAUGCCUGUAGAUGAGGUUGAACCCCCAUCCGUCCAGAGGNNNNNNNNNNNNNCUGAAACCCAGCAGGUCCAUACUCCCAGCGCGGGUGAUAAUUAUUCAGAAAUUAAGCCACCAAAGAUCAAGUCAGCCAGUUUUAAGGAUCCUUCUUUAUCAAGCAAGCACCGAUCCUCAAAACGACAAGAAUAUGCAGAAUUCUAUGGAUCAGGUGAGGUGCCUUCUUCUGGCAGGUCCAGGAGCCAGCCACAAAGAGAGAACAAGGCAUCGACAACGUGAUAAGAGUGGAGAGGUGAUUUUUGGAGCAGCCGGGACAGAGCCA